CCACGCACAAUGAUGGCCCUAAUUAUGCCGGCGAGGACGGCGGGCGGCCCGGACGGGGAGGCGACGACGAAAGCGUCUGCAUGCUACUGAUUGCGUGG
This 98-nucleotide small nucleolar RNA is filed under the name Oryza sativa (Asian cultivated rice). RNAcentral's name for it is "Z253 small nucleolar RNA". Lineage: Eukaryota; Viridiplantae; Streptophyta; Magnoliopsida; Poales; Poaceae. The record is from RNAcentral.